This 74-nucleotide transfer RNA is filed under the name Clostridiales bacterium. RNAcentral describes it as "tRNA-Arg". It matches the Rfam family "tRNA". From Rfam's summary of the family: Transfer RNA (tRNA) molecules are approximately 80 nucleotides in length. Their secondary structure includes four short double-helical elements and three loops (D, anti-codon, and T loops). Lineage: Bacteria; Bacillati; Bacillota; Clostridia; Eubacteriales. The record is from RNAcentral.
GUACCUGUAGCUCAGUAGGAUAGAGCGUCCGCCUCCUAAGCGGAAGGUCGUGGGUUCGAAUCCCGCCAGGUACG